Molecule: long non-coding RNA, 416 nt
Organism: Cololabis saira (Pacific saury)
Lineage: Eukaryota; Metazoa; Chordata; Actinopteri; Beloniformes; Belonidae
Exons: 4
Source: RefSeq, a predicted model, not a curated record
CAGCUUGUUCAGGUAUUAAAAACGGCCGGACCUGUCGAGUGAAGACGGAUGGAUACAGGUAUGCUGGCCGACCAGGAAAGCACCUAAAAACAAGGAGGCCGCAAAACCGCUCCUACUCGGAGACAACUACAAGGAGUUGAUGGAAAGAAAAGAAGCCUUCUUCAAGGAUGAAGACAUCUGGCACAUGGCAGUUGCAAGGAGAAGGUCCUCACCUUGUACCACAACAUAUGACGGAAGCAAACCAAAGAAAAAAAGAAUUACUGCAACUUCCAGUCUCACUUCAGAUGAAGAUGAAACACAGAUUGACCCAUCACAAGUUCUUCAAACAAAUAUACAGUUAUUGCUGAAUUUCCAGGAACAACUGUCUGAUGUGAGAGCAGUGAUUCGGAGAAAAUGCAACAAUGAGAAUUUUGUGA